AGAUACUUGUAUUUCCUGAGACCGGCGAACGGGUGCGUAACGCGUAUGCAACCUACCUUUAUCAGGGGGAUAGCCCAGAGAAAUUUGGAUUAAUACCGCAUAAUACUAUUUAUGGCAUCAUAGAUAGUUGAAAGAUUUAUUGGAUAGAGAUGGGCAUGCGUAGGAUUAGCUAGUAGGUGAGGUAAAGGCUCACCUAGGCAACGAUCCUUAGGGGCUCUGAGAGGAGUGACCCCCACACUGGUACUGAGAUACGGACCAGACUCC
Molecule: ribosomal RNA, 264 nt
Filed under: unidentified marine bacterioplankton
Lineage: Bacteria
Description: partial 16S ribosomal RNA
Rfam family: Bacterial small subunit ribosomal RNA
Source: RNAcentral